RNAcentral lists this unclassified non-coding RNA (719 nucleotides) under Hevea brasiliensis (rubber tree). Lineage: Eukaryota; Viridiplantae; Streptophyta; Magnoliopsida; Malpighiales; Euphorbiaceae. The record is from RNAcentral.
AAUGAGAAAAACUUUCCAAGUGUUCUCACUUGCUUCUUGGCUAACUUGGCUCCUCGAGGAGUGUGGAAACUGUUGAUAAGAUGUGCUGUGGCAGUACCGCUUGGGUAGGUCAACUUGAAAUCUAUGAUCAUUAUCUUCCGUAGAGGAACAACCGAGAAGAGGCCGAGAAAGCUGACGAUGAAAAGAAAACCAAUUAUCCAUCCUAAUGAAGGGUUCUUGAAGUCAUUGAUAUCGGCGGAUGAUAGCUUACUAAUGCGCUGACUCAGUCCAAAUAGAUAGCUCCCGAAACCUCCGCUGAAGGCGAUGCCGGAGGAAGCGACAACACAAGUCUGAAUCACGGUGUUCUCCUGGCGAGUGAAAGGCUGUUUCAGUAAACCAGAUUUCUCCAGAAGUUUGGUCCAUGUCUUCACGAAGAAGAAGCCGAGAAGUCCGGCGGAGACAUUGAGCGAAGGAAUAAUACCGGUAGUCAAGUUGAGCUUCAUCACGAUGAAAGUGAACAACACACUCAGUCCAAAGCUCACCACAAACGCUCUCGCCGUCAGCUGCUUCUGCCACGACGGCACCUCUUGCGUUUCGAAAAUCCUCUCCACCGACAUCGAUUCCUCCGCCAUUACUAAUCCUUGAUGAUCUCCUCUCGCUCUCUUGCUGAUCUUCUGGUUUGGAUCCAACUCGUCGCACUUCUCCUCCUCCUCCAUAUCCCUCUGAUCUCUUCCGUUUCG